CCGGAAGUGGAGGUAACGCCAGGCCCUGCCCCCGGCAGAGCCGGAAGCGGAGUCGCCGUGAGAGGUUUCACGUCUCCGUAGGCGCCUCAGCCCAGCCGCGCGCCUUGGCCCAUGGCCGCCUACUCCUACCGCCCCGGCCCCGGUGCCGGCCCAGGGCCUGCUGCGGGCGCGGCGCUGCCGGACCAGAGCUUUCUGUGGAACGUCUUCCAGAGGGUUGAUAAAGACAGGAGUGGAGUGAUAUCGGACACCGAGCUUCAGCAAGCUCUCUCCAACGGAUGAAGCCCCACCCGCCCUUCAGGAUGCCAGCCUUGGCAACAUCGUGAGACCCUGUUUCUCCAAAAAGUCAACAAAAUGAACCAAGUGUGGUGGUGCACGCCUGUAGUCCCAGCUACUUGGGAGGCUGAGAUGGGAAGAUCAUUUGAGCCUGGGAGGUUGAGGCUGCAUUGAGCUGAGAUCAAGCCACUGCACUCCAGCCUGGGAGACAGAGUGAAACCCUAUCUCAAAAAAACACAGAAAGUGGAUGCUGCUCCUGCCAUUGGGUCAUUGCAGCGUUUUUCUUUUCUCUGAUGCACACCUUUUUCCUCAUCGUGGGGUCUCGUGUUUUCGUAGUUCCCUCUCGCUACUGGAUUGUGAGCUGCGUGAAGGAAGGUUCAUAGUUGGGUUGUAUGUACAGGCACACAAAAUUUGUCUUUGGACAGACACAUAUCAAUCUGCUUUCUUCUCCUCUCUGAAUUUCUUUAUAUAAAAAAAUAGAGAUGGAGUCUCACUGUCUUUCCUUGGCUGGUCUCAAACUCCUAGGCUCAAGCGAUCCUCCCGUCUCAGCCUAUACUAAUAUGAAUUCCUCUACUAAUGUGAUUAAAAUUAGUGUGACUUCCAUAAUAAUUGUUCUCCCAGAUUGGACUUCUGUUUUGAUAGUAGAAGUAAAUUAUUGGGCUAUUUCAAGAAAUUAACAUAUUACUGGUAGAAAAACUGAAGCUACAAAAUGGCCUGGUUUCUCACUUCAGUUAAAUUUGUGCUUCUGAGUGUUUGUAUUGUAGGUGAAACUGCACUGAGAAGGUAUUUGUGGCCCGUACACUGAUUCCUUGAUGAGACUUGUUUGCACAGGAGAGCUGCUAAAAAUUACUGCUCUAAGGGAGGUCUGUGAUAAACAGACAGAGGCCCACUGAGGCUUCUCUCUCCUCCACGGGGAACAGCAUUGGGCUAAACCUGCAGACACCAUUGCAAAGGGAAGUCAGCUCAGGCGAACCCGCUGGUGAAGAAUGAUCCCAGCGUGGGGACACAGAGGCCGACAUUUCUUGCCGUGGGUGAUUUAAUGUUGGGCCUCAGUUUUUCACUCCCCCGGUAAGAGUAUGACACAGCUCGCAGCUGCAGCCUAGCCAGGGCCCGAGGGAGGGUGGACGGACUUAUCCA
RNA transcript from Piliocolobus tephrosceles (Ugandan red Colobus), 1410 nucleotides. It is a transcript of the gene named programmed cell death protein 6-like, with no coding region annotated. Lineage: Eukaryota; Metazoa; Chordata; Mammalia; Primates; Cercopithecidae. The record is from RefSeq and is a predicted model, not a curated record. The transcript is spliced from 4 exons.